GAUGAGCAUUUCAGAAACCGGGGAUUGAUGGCCUAACGACUCUUCGGGGUCCGCUGGCCGUUAAAAACCGGCUUAAUUGCAAUGGUUUGAACCGGGCAAAAGUCGUAACACGGUAGCUGUAGGUGAACCUGCUGCUGGAUCAUUA
Molecule: ribosomal RNA, 145 nt
Filed under: Rotylenchulus reniformis
Lineage: Eukaryota; Metazoa; Nematoda; Chromadorea; Rhabditida; Hoplolaimidae
Description: partial 18S ribosomal RNA
Rfam family: Eukaryotic small subunit ribosomal RNA
Source: RNAcentral